UGCUGAGUGUUCGAACUGUAUUCAAAUAAGGAAAAAUAUAAACACCAGUGAUAGAGACAGGAGGCAGCCAAGGACCCCUCCUGCCCCCAACACCUGACGAAAUGCCGCCUUCAAGCCUAAAACAGCAUGAGGGAUGAAAAACCAGACUGCCGGUCCGGAUGAAGCCCACCCUUUUCCCCAAAUGAUUCUUUCUGAAUAACGCCCAUCUGCACAUUGGGAGGAGGGGGUGGGGCCUUGGGAAGUUUGCACUGUUUGCAGGGGGGAGGAGCCUGGUCUCUCUCGUUUCUGUGUGGUAAGGUGGGAUUUAAUCCCUGAGAUGGAGAGCCUGUUAGCAGGACUCUUAUCUCACUUUGCUGAUGCGUAUUUCCUUUUUCAUUUCUGCCUAAUAAAUUCCACUUGUCACCCUUCUACGUGUCUGCGAGCCUAAUCUUUCCUGGUCGUGUGACAAGAACCCCGUUUUUUUUCCUGCAACGCUAGAGUCACAGAAUUAUUUUUUGAAUCUUAAUGAAUGAUACCUCACAUUCUCUAUGGCUAGAAUGUUCCUCUCCCAGAUACCAUGACUUGGCCCCUUCACUUCAGUUAGGUCUCUGCUCAAAUGUUAUCUGUGAAACAUAGAAAACGGCA
RNAcentral lists this long non-coding RNA (624 nucleotides) under Homo sapiens (human). RNAcentral describes it as "HSALNT0133673". Lineage: Eukaryota; Metazoa; Chordata; Mammalia; Primates; Hominidae. The record is from RNAcentral.